RNAcentral lists this ribosomal RNA (540 nucleotides) under uncultured bacterium. RNAcentral describes it as "bacterial SSU rRNA". It matches the Rfam family "Bacterial small subunit ribosomal RNA", at positions 355 to 896 of the family's 1533-position model. The record is from RNAcentral.
UGAGGAAUAUUGGUCAAUGGACGGAAGUCUGAACCAGCCAAGUAGCGUGCAGGAUGACGGCCCUAUGGGUUGUAAACUGCUUUUGUAUGGGGAUAAAGUUAGGGACGUGUCCCUAUUUGCAGGUACCAUAUGAAUAAGGACCGGCUAAUUCCGUGCCAGCAGCCGCGGUAAUACGGAAGGUUCAGGCGUUAUCCGGAUUUAUUGGGUUUAAAGGGAGCGUAGGCCGGAGAUUAAGUGUGUUGUGAAAUGUAGACGCUCAACGUCUGACUUGCAGCGCAUACUGGUUUCCUUGAGUACGCACAACGUUGGCGGAAUUCGUCGUGUAGCGGUGAAAUGCUUAGAUAUGACGAAGAACUCCGAUUGCGAAGGCAGCUGACGGGAGCGCAACUGACGCUUAAGCUCGAAGGUGCGGGUAUCGAACAGGAUUAGAUACCCUGGUAGUCCGCACAGUAAACGAUGGAUGCCCGCUGUUGGUACCUGGUAUCAGCGGCUAAGCGAAAGCAUUAAGCAUCCCACCUGGGGAGUACGCCGGCAACGGUG